RNAcentral lists this ribosomal RNA (495 nucleotides) under uncultured bacterium. RNAcentral's name for it is "partial 16S ribosomal RNA". It matches the Rfam family "Bacterial small subunit ribosomal RNA", at positions 28 to 507 of the family's 1533-position model. The record is from RNAcentral.
GACGAACGCUGGCGGCGUGCCUAAUACAUGCAAGUCGAACGCUGAAGGAGGAGCUUGCUUCUCUGGAUGAGUUGCGAACGGGUGAGUAACGCGUAGGUAACCUGCCUUGUACCGUGGGAUAACUAUUGGAAACGAUAGCUAAUACCGCAUAAGAGUAGAUGUUGCAUGACAUUUGCUUAAAAGUUUCAAUUGCUUCACUACCAGUUGGACCUGCGUUGUAUUAGCUAGUGGGUGUGGUAACGGCUCACCAAGGCGACGAUACAUAGCAGCACUGAGAUGGUGGUUAGCCGGCCUGGGACGGUGACACGGCACAGACGGACAGGGGAGGCAGCAGGAGGGCAACGUGGGGCAGGGACGGAAGUCUGACCAAGCAAGGCCGAAGGAGGGAAGAAGGUUGUCGGGUCGGAAAGGACGGUUGUAAGGGAAGAAACAGCGUGAGAGUGGAAAGUUCACACUGUGACGGUAUCUGAUCAGAAAGCGACGGCUAACUACGUG